GCUAAUACAUGCAAACAGAGUCCCGACCGUAAAUGGAAGGGACGCUUUUAUUAGAUCAAAACCAAUCGACGUCCGUCUGCUCUCGGGCUGACGGCGCCGUACUCCUUGGUGACUCUGAAUAACUUUUGGCAGAUCGCACGGUCUUCGAACCGGCGACGCAUCCUUCAAAUGUCUGCCUUAUCAACUGUCGAUGGUAGGUUCUGCGCCUACCAUGGUUGUAACGGGUAACGGGGAAUCAGGGUUCGAUUCCGGAGAGGGAGCCUGAGAAACGGCUACCACAUCCAAGGAAGGCAGCAGGCGCGCAAAUUACCCACUCCCGGCACGGGGAGGUAGUGACGAAAAAUAACGAUACGGGACUCAUCCGAGGCCCCGUAAUCGGAAUGAGUAUACUCUAAAUCCUUAUACGAGUAUCAAUUGGAGGGCAAGUCUGGUGCCAGCAGCCGCGGUAAUUCCAGCUCCAAUAGCGUAUAUAAAGUGU
RNAcentral lists this ribosomal RNA (478 nucleotides) under Cathedra serrata. Its description in RNAcentral is "SSU rRNA". It matches the Rfam family "Eukaryotic small subunit ribosomal RNA", at positions 163 to 611 of the family's 1831-position model. The record is from RNAcentral. Lineage: Eukaryota; Metazoa; Arthropoda; Insecta; Hemiptera; Fulgoridae.